GGGGUUGUGGCUCAGUGGCAGAGCACUUGCCCAGCAUGUGCAAGGCCCUGGGUUCCACCCCCAGCACCUCA
This 71-nucleotide transfer RNA is filed under the name Marmota monax (woodchuck). It matches the Rfam family "tRNA". Rfam says of the family: Transfer RNA (tRNA) molecules are approximately 80 nucleotides in length. Their secondary structure includes four short double-helical elements and three loops (D, anti-codon, and T loops). Further hydrogen bonds mediate the characteristic L-shaped molecular structure. tRNAs have two regions of fundamental functional importance: the anti-codon, which is responsible for specific mRNA codon recognition, and the 3' end, to which the tRNAs corresponding amino acid is attached (by aminoacyl-tRNA synthetases). tRNAs cope with the degeneracy of the genetic code in two manners: having more than one tRNA (with a specific anti-codon) for a particular amino acid; and 'wobble' base-pairing, i.e. permitting non-standard base-pairing at the 3rd anti-codon position. RNAcentral also lists the same sequence under 2 other names. Lineage: Eukaryota; Metazoa; Chordata; Mammalia; Rodentia; Sciuridae. The record is from Rfam by way of RNAcentral.